UACGUAGGGGGCAAGCGUUGUCCGGAGUUACUGGGCGUAAAGCGCACGCAGGCGGUCGAUUAAGUUUGGAGUGACAGUUGGUGGCUUAACUGCCAAAGUGCUUUGAAAACUGAUCGACUUGAGGGCUUCAGAGGGACACGGAAUUCCGGGUGGAGUGGUGAAAUGCGUAGAGUUCCGGAGGAACACCGAAGGCGAAGGCAGUGUCCUGGGGAGUACCUGACGCUCAGGUGCGAAAGCCAGGGGAGCGAACGGG
This 253-nucleotide ribosomal RNA is filed under the name uncultured bacterium. RNAcentral's name for it is "partial 16S ribosomal RNA". It matches the Rfam family "Bacterial small subunit ribosomal RNA", at positions 524 to 776 of the family's 1533-position model. The record is from RNAcentral.